This 1098-nucleotide long non-coding RNA is filed under the name Oryzias javanicus (javanese ricefish). RNAcentral's name for it is "lncRNA (ENSOJAG00000014763.1)". The record is from RNAcentral. Lineage: Eukaryota; Metazoa; Chordata; Actinopteri; Beloniformes; Adrianichthyidae.
UCAGGUGUUUAAAGCAUCUGAUGGAUCUCCAGCAUCACCAUUUUGGCCGGUAAAGCGGCUUUAAUUGGCCCCGCCCCCGUCCAUCUCUCACCACAGCCUUGAUGGCCUCUCCCGCGCGCCGCGUUCGCUCAUCUUUCCAGCGGAUCGCAGCCCGUCUAGGCUCUGAAAAAUCCCAUUAAAAUCGCAUCUUCUCUGAAUAUUCACCACCGAAGUGCGCGGGGCCGGAGCCUCCGGCUGAAACCGGACACCGCCGGGCUAUUCCGGAGCCUGAUAAUAACUUUUAGCUGCGCCUCGCGUUUCAGGAGCGUAUUUAUAGUCUGAAGGGAAACAUUUGUGGUCGGAGGAGAGCAUUGUUCCUGCCCGUCUCACUCAGCAUCCGCUUUUCCUCCUGGAAGAGACCGGAAAGAAAGAAAGAAAGCUGCCCAAGCAACGACUUCUGCUCCAGAACUUCUUCCAAAACAUCACUUUUCCAAACAUUAAAGUUCCCACAAUACUUGGGAUUUUAUGAAGGGAAAACGGUGAGGAGAAGAGGAAGUGCUGCUACAGUUACGCAGAAGAAGGCAGAGCAGGACAAAGGAGUAAACAGGAAGUGCGGAUCCUCCCACGCACGUUUGCCCGAUACUCCUUCCUUCUCACAGCAGAGAGGAAAAGGAGGUCCAGGUGGGAGAAACGGAGAUCAAAUUAGCGGCUGAAGCUUCAGAGUCUUGCUGCUGUGUGGAGGAGAUAAGCUUGAUGGGGAGCUUUUGUUUGCAGUGAACAUGCAUGUGAACAUGCAUGUGAUCUGCAGCUGCACACAGGACGAGUCUCCACAGCAGCAGAGGCUAACAGCAGCUCGGACAAUGGCAGCAUCAGCUGAGUUCCACAGAUAACGGCAUCUUCCUUUCAUUCAUUACAAUACGAACGUGACGCCGUUUGACCUGCAGUUUGAACGUAUAUGCAGUGGUUAUAAAUAUAUGUUUCUGCUGAUAUUAUCUGAAUUGAGUGAUUGAAGAGAAACCAGAUAAAAGUAAAAACUGAAGAUCAAUCUUCCUGUUUGAAGCAGAGAUUUGAAGAACUUAAAGGGGAAAAAAACAACUUUUAAAGCUUUUUUGUAUUUUA